GACGAACGCUGGCGGCGUGCCUAACACAUGCAAGUCGAGCGGAGUUGGAAGAAGCUGCAGAGAUGUAGCGGGAGCCGACUUAGCGGCGAACGGGUGAGUAACACGUGGGCAAUCUGCCCUCUGGAGCGGGAUAACAGACCGAAAGGCCUGCUAAUACCGCAUGAGGCCUAGGAGUCGCAUGGCAUUUAGGUCAAAGGGGGAAACCCGCCGGAGGAGGAGCCCGCGUCCCAUUAGCUAGUUGGCGGUGUAACUGACCACCAAGGCGAUGAUGGGUAGCCGGCCUGAGAGGGUGAACGGCCACAUUGGGACUGAGACACGGCCCAGACUCCUACGGGGGCAGCAGUGAGGGAUUUUCGGCAAUGGGCGAAAGCCUGACCGAGCGACGCCGCGUGAGCGAAGAAGGCCUUCGGGUCGUAAAGCUCUGUCUAGGGGGACGAGGAGAGGACGGUACCCCGUGGAGGAAGCCGACGGCUAACUACCGUGCCAGCAGCCGCGGUAGAGUCACG
Molecule: ribosomal RNA, 506 nt
Filed under: uncultured bacterium
Lineage: Bacteria
Description: bacterial SSU rRNA
Rfam family: Bacterial small subunit ribosomal RNA
Source: RNAcentral